CGAAGCGACGUCAAAGCGUUCAUUAAAGUCGAGUUGGCUUAGGGAUACGUUCGUUGGGUAGGGGAGCGUUCUGUAAGCCUGUGAAGGUGUGUCGUGAGGCAUGCUGGAGGUAUCAGAAGUGCGAAUGCUGACAUAAGUAACGAUAAAGCGGGUGAAAAGCCCGCUCGCCGGAAGACCAAGGGUUCCUGUCCAACGUUAAUCGGGGCAGGGUGAGUCGACCCCUAAGGCGAGGCCGAAAGGCGUAGUCGAUGGGAAACGGGUUAAUAUUCCCGUACUUGGUGUUACUGCGAAGGGGGGACGGAGAAGGCUAUGUUGGCCGGGCGACGGUUGUCCCGGUUUAAGCGUGUAGGUGUGUGUUCCAGGUAAAUCCGGUUCACUUUAACACUGAGGCGUGACGACGAGGCACUACGGUGCUGAAGCAACAAAUGCCCUGCUUCCAGGAAAAGCCUCUAAGCAUCAGGUAACAUCAAAUCGUACCCCAAACCGACACAGGUGGUCAGGUAGAGAAUACCAAGGCGCUUGAGAGAACUCGGGUGAAGGAACUAGGCAAAAUGGUGCCGUAACUUCGGGAGAAGGCACGCUGACACGUAGGUGAAGUGAUUUACUCA
This 608-nucleotide ribosomal RNA is filed under the name Salmonella enterica subsp. enterica. RNAcentral describes it as "partial 23S ribosomal RNA". It matches the Rfam family "Bacterial large subunit ribosomal RNA", at positions 1195 to 1772 of the family's 2925-position model. The record is from RNAcentral. Lineage: Bacteria; Pseudomonadati; Pseudomonadota; Gammaproteobacteria; Enterobacterales; Enterobacteriaceae.